RNAcentral lists this long non-coding RNA (2404 nucleotides) under Homo sapiens (human). Its description in RNAcentral is "HSALNT0242872". Lineage: Eukaryota; Metazoa; Chordata; Mammalia; Primates; Hominidae. The record is from RNAcentral.
UUCACCAUGAGCUGUGCAAAUUUGGGAAUCUGGCCAAACUCCAGGGCCACCUAUCAUGAGCAGCCUUGUUUGCUGGCAAUUUGCAGAGUUGCAAGGGGUAAAGGACUGGCUUUGACUAUUCAGUCUUUCAGGAAAACUUGAUCCAGUCGGCUAUAUUCUUGGACUGGCAAAACUGUAAUGUUGAGUGCUUCUACCAACUGAUAAUCUAUGGGAAAUCAAGACAGAGCUGCUCUGGGAUGACUAUGCACAUUGAAGGAGGAGUGGAAUUUCAUUUACAAGACAUUUUGAUGAAGUCUCAGUAGGGAAGAAAACUAACUUCUGGAGAGAGCUUACCUGUGCUAGAUAAUUGUACUUGCAUUAUUUCACUGAAUCUUUUUGGCAAAGCUUUGAGGUAGGCAUUAUAGCUCCCUUUGCACAGAUAGAAAUACCAAGGAGAGAUGUAGACAUAUGCCUAAAUUUAUUUUUAAAUAACUGGUGUGAGGCAGAGCUGGGAGUCAAACUCAGGUGUUCUCCCUCUGACCCAGAGCACUUUCUUUCUUUUCUUUUUCUUUCUUUUUUUUUUUUUUUUUUGAGACGGAGUCUCACACUAUUGCACAGGCUAGAGUGCAGUGGCGCGAUCUCGGCUCACUGCAACCUCUGCCUCCCAGGUUCAAGCAAUUCUGCCUCAGCCUCCCAUGUAGCUGGGAUUACAGGUGCGUGCCACCAUGCCUGGCUAAUUUUUUUGGUGUGUGUAUUUUUAGUAAAGACAGGGUUUCACCAUGCUGGCCAGGCUGGUCUCAAACUCCUGACCUCAGGUGAUCUUCCUGCCUCGGCCUCCCAAAGUGCUGGGAUUACAGGCGUGAGCCACCGCAUCUGGCCCAGAGCACUUUCUGCUCCACCUCUGCACCUCUUUGCCUGCUCUAUCAUUAAUAUCACUGGUUUUCUUUUGGGCUAGUUUUUAGUUCUGGCUUAUGCUGAAACUAACGGACAUGCCACCUGAUGUGGACAGAGGUAGCUUAGAGGAUGUGGUCAUGUUUUGGGAAUCCAGUAUUGAGACUGAGAUCCAGCAUUAACUGUGGCUGAGAUCUGUCUCGAACACAUGCACACAUGUACACCCAUGUGCAUUUAAGUAGAAACAAUUGAGGGCUGAUAAGCCAAUCAAACGGUUGAUCUCUUCCAGUCACUGGAAAGGCAGCAGAGAGGGCGUGGAGACAGACACAUCUGGAUGAGAAACUCCAGCUCCACCCACUUAACAGCUGUGUGAUCUUGGAUGUGCCAUUUACUCUCUUGCCUCAGUUCGUUCAUCUGUGAAAUGGAGCAAACAUCACAUCCUUGGUGGUUGUGAAGAUUAACCAUGAUCAUGUGUAUGUGGCAUGUACUGUUACCUACCUGUUAUCCCUUAAGUCACGGGUGAAGGUUUGAAAACAAUUGUGAAAGAGGGUAGUGUCAGCUGAUGUAUACAUGUCUCUGUUUAUCUUUCAUUUUUCUUACUGUUCAAGUGAAAUGCCAGAAGGUUGAGCUUCAGUCUGGUGCCCAGGAGGACAAGGGGCACAUGCUAGAAAUAGAAGACAAUGGUGCCUUGGUCCCUAUUGGUAGAUUGAAUGAUUUGUUCAAAACAUAUUCAUGGUGCCUUUCUGUAGGACCCCGGCUCCUGCCACUUCACGGGAGAGGAGAGCACUCCCAUGCCAUUCAAUCCGGCAUGGCCGUGUGUCUUGCAUUAGCCAGUGGGUUGUGAGCAGAAGUGACUAUGCCCUGCUUGAGAAGAAGUUCAGUGCCAUCCCAUGAUUUUACCUUUCCUUUGACAUGAGGCCGCAAGUCCCAGAGAGGGGCUGCUCCUUCUGCUUGGACCUCAGAAAGAAGAUAAUAGGGGCAGAACUGCAGCUGACUUGUGAAGGGCAUUUAAUGGGAGCAAAGAGACCUUUGAGAUUUGGGGUUAUUCCUUAUGGCAGCACAGCUGGGAAAGCUGACUAAUUAAUAGCAUCGCUGAUGGCAUACUGGGGCUGCCACACUAGCUGUCACUGGUUUUACCUCCAGACUUCUUACUACAUGAGAAAAAACAACUCCUACUUGGCUAAGCCACCAUUUUUGGUGACUGUGGUCAUGAUAUCCAGUAUCAUGAAAGUACCAGGCACAUUCGCACUUAAUAAAUUAAUGUUAGCUAUUAUUAGGGUAAUAUACAGACAUGUAUUUUAGAAAAUACUCAACUUAUGCAGUCUACAUUUAUGAGAUAAAUUGAUGGUGGAUUUUUAAAAUGAAAUUCGGCUUUGUUAAUAACCUAAUGAAUUCACUUAUUUUUAUUUAAAAAUUGAACAUUACAAAACGCCGUAAAGUGAAGAUUUCUACCUGCCAUUCUUUCAACACUUCUCUCCAUUGAUAACCUGUGUUAUCAAAACAUUUUUCUGUGUAAGGGCCAGAUUAAGGUGAG